This 5912-nucleotide long non-coding RNA is filed under the name Brassica napus (rape). RNAcentral's name for it is "long non-coding RNA (BNAP_LNC000241)". Lineage: Eukaryota; Viridiplantae; Streptophyta; Magnoliopsida; Brassicales; Brassicaceae. The record is from RNAcentral.
AUCGGUAGUAAACGGCCAUAAUAGCCAUAGAAGUGAUACCGAAGCUCGACAUCACUGCGGCUAUCAGAUAAGUGAACCUCUCCGAUUUCUUCCUCUCCAGCUUCUCAGCCAGACGCAGCGCGAGGUACUCCGCGUCUAUGGCGUUCGUGUCCAGAGAGCUUGUUUUCUCUGGACUCUCAUCAUUGUUGAUUGGAGAACUCUGCCUCCGAUCCGAGACGACGUAGCAGACGGAUAAUCCUCUGAAGCGGAGGAGAGACGACGGCAAUCCGGUUAAGGAAGUUGGAUGGUGCAGGCGGAGACUGGAGGAGGAAGAGAAAGCGCGGUGGAGCGGCUUGAAUGUUAGGGCGGUUGAUAGACCUGCCGCCAUGGAAGAAGAAGAAGAAGCUCCGGCGAGAGUUAUCUCCACUUUGGUGAGGUCUCUAACCUUUUUAUGCGAGAGGGAAAGAAAGAGAGAGAGAGAGAGAUGUGGUGUAGAAUGCUCUGUGGCCAAAGAUGAUUUUGUUUGGGUCACUAAAAAUGAAAAUACGUUUUGGAAUUAAAUAUGCAGAAUAUACAAGUGACGGACGGUUCUGUUUCGUGUGACGAAAUUUGACCCCUAAUUCUUUUUCUAAUGGACUAAUCUACCCCCCACAGGCCCACUCUUAUAUUUUAUGAAAAUUACAUUUUCUGCCAAUCAAUUCUUUUUUUGUCCUCUUUGCAUUUGGUGUGGUCUUUGACCAUUUGGUUAAUUGUUCAGAGAUACAAUUACUGAAAAGAAAUUAUUUAAUUAGGCAAAAUAUAAGGAUUAAUCAUCUCUAUAAUAUUAUUUGAGAAGUCAGUUUCCUAUGUGUCACUCUCACGUUAACUCUCACGAUGGUUGAUUACACUGUUACCCUUAAUGAAUUAAUUUACAUUUUUAUUUAGUUUCCUUUUUAAAAAAAUCCGAAAAAUAUACACAUAUAAUAAAAAAGGAAUUUUUUAUAAAGUUAAAAAAAAAAGAAUUGAAAACCGAAAAUAUAUGUAUAUAUAAUAUGAUUUCAUAAAAAAAAGGAAAGUUCACAAAAUAGUAAUACUAGAUUUAAAAAAUAUUUCUAAAUAACAUAAAAUAUAAUUUUGAAGUAAUAAAAUACUUUCCUUAUAUCUAUAUUUUCUUAGAUGAAAAUUAUAAAUUUCUAUAUAAUGUGAUUUCAUUAAAAACAGUUUACAUAGAUAAUCUUGAUAUUAGAAAAAAAAUAUUAUUUAUUUUAAAACAUAAUGUUAAAAAAUACAAAAAGUUCAAAGUAAAAAAAAUAAUUUUAUAUAUCUAUAUAUUUUCUUAGAUGAAUACAUAAAAUAAUUAAGUAACAUAAACUGAUAUAUGUUUAAUUGUCUACAAAUAGUUUAAAAUUAGUAAUAUUGAAAUGUUUUAUUUAUUUUUCUUAUAUUUAGUUGACUAUAAUAUCUUUGCUGUUGUGAGAUUCAGUAUACACAUCCUCACAUCAUCAAGGAAGAAGCCGACGCGGGUGAUGCUGAUGACAAUGAGAUUAGUAAGUCUCAAUCAAAGUUCAUCGUUUUGGUCCUACCUGUUGUGAGAUGUUUUGACGUGGAAACUUGUUUCUUUUAUUUCAGGAGGAACAUGGGCAAUGUCUUCUUUCUCAUUCGACUACUGUUUUUUGGCUGAGGUCACUGCUUCAAAUCUAAAAGCAGACAAACUUGUGAGUCAAUUUUCAUACGUAUAAACCAUAUUUAGUUAGUCAAUUUUCAUAUGUAUAAAUCAUAUUCUGUGUUUGCAGUAUCUUCCUACUAGUGCUUUGAACAAACAAUGCCAAGAGAUGAUACUAGUGAACAAAGAGGAAAAUUCAUGGACAGCGAGUUUGCGAUUUAGCGAAUCAGGCGGCAUGUAUUACAUCACAAGAGGCUGGGAAAAGUUUUGUCGUGAUAACAUAUGCGACAUAGGAGACUUAUUUGUGUUCAAUCUGGUUGGAGAUGGGAAAUCUACUCCAUUGUUGUGUGUAUGUCCGGAAAGUAAAGAGUGUUCUGAACUACUGAGCAAACACUUGAGCAGAAAGCGUGGUGAGUCUUCUCCAUUGCCUUGCUUGAGACGUCUUUAACAUGCGUGUUCUUUCUUUGCUUCUGGUUUAACUUGCUUGUUUGGUUUUGUUCUGCAGGUGACAUUGCUUCUGGCUCACGGGUGAAUUAGGAGAAUAGUCAAGUAGUAUUCCGUCUCUUUAGCUUGCGUCUCUUUAGCUAUGUAUCUCGGACUUGUUUAGAGCUUAUAUCCUCUUGUUUUCCUUGCUACAAUUUACUUGUAUGAUCAGUUCAGUUUAGACUCAAGUUCUUGUGUUUCUCGAGUAUCAACUUACUUAUAAGUUUAAAUCUUUUUCUUCUACUCUUGUAAGUUUAAAUAUGUUUAGCUAACUACAAUCUUGCUUCUCUUCAUUCUCUUCUCUUUUAUCUCAUGUUUAGUCAAUCUCAAUCUUCAGUUGACCUUGAUUCACCUGAACCUUUUUGGUUCGGUAGCUAACUACAAUAAUUAGUUUAUCUUUAUAUCUUUAUGUUUAAUUAUACAAAUAAUAAAACCUCAAUUUCAGUUUUAAAAAAAAAUUAAUAAUAUUUUUUUUUAUAAGGACCCAGUUUCGGAAACACCAUUGGACUACCAGUUUUGAUUCGAAUCCUUAACUAUUCAAAAAAAAAAAUUACUAAAAUAUUUCUAAGGAUUCAUUGGUGAGGUUCACCGUUGCAUAUGCUCUCAGUGCGUUAUUGGUUACACUGUAUCGUCGACUUUUCUUUCGCACUUUUGUGCCGUUGCCUAAUUAUAUGCUUCCACGCAACCCCAUCCUCUCCAACUUUUCACCAUAAACAAUCAAAUUAUUUGCCCCUUAUCUCCUGUGAUUUGAUUGGAUAGUCUCGUAGGAGUGUAAAUACACUUGGAAUCGGUGCGAGUAUAAUGAGGAAAUGUUGUGAUGUAUCCACUCAUCAGUGAGUUAGUUACAAAAUUAUAAUGGGACAGCCGACAGGCUAGCUCAGCACGUAACACGUAUCCAUAACUUUACCUUUAAAAGCCAUCUCCCUUUUUAUGUUCUCACCAGCCAAACUUAUUUUUGUAUAUAGAACUCGAUCGUACCAUAUUGUGAUGGCCUAUUAAUAUAUGCUGUGGUAAAUUAUUGAGUACUAAUGAAAGCUUUGACUAUACAGUGAUUUUGUGUUAUUGAAUGAACCGGUGGAAGCAGUAGGGUUUACACUACUUGAAUACUGAUCUUAAACUUGUAGACUGACAGUUUAGUCUCAUAUUGAUCUCCUAUAUUCGCAUGUUAUGUUCUAUUUACUAGUAAAAGCUUCAGUUUUUGGAGUUUAAAACACAUUCGUUCCAGUUCUAUUGAAUUCUUAAUUAACAAAACAUACAGUAUAUUCAAUUUUUAAGACUUAAGUCUCCUUAUUCAUCUUCUACCUUUUUAAAUAGUAUAAUUCAUCUUCUACCUUUGCAUGUUCUAGUCACUCAUAAAUGUCUUCUAUUACUUUAGUUAAAUGAUUUGAGUGAUUGCAUAUGCAAUCGAAUUCAACUUUUCCUUUAUUUUGGAACUUUUAUAAUUCAGAAGUAUAACGUUACACGCAAGUACGCAACGAUGGCAUUCCACGAGAUCGCGCGAAGAAGUGGUCAUACUGUGAACGUAAAAGCUUAUAUUAGACUAAGGUAAAGAAGAAAAAUCCAUAAUUUAGCCUAGGGAGAUGUCAUUUGAUAUGUCACAUAUGUAUGAUUGUAUCACUUCAUGAAUAUUAUAUGUUGGUUGCAAACUUGCAUGCAUAAGCAAACGAUAUUCUGGUACAAGUCAAAAUACGUUUCAUUUUUAAUUUUGAUAUUAUAUAAUAUCAGUUAUGUUAUGCAUCACAUGAUGACCUUGUUCACAUUCAGUGAAUCACUGUAAGAGAUCAUGACUGUUUAUCUAAGAAAUAUGCAAAAUAAAUUAGUGACCAGAUGACGACUUCCGAAAUAGCGGAGGGUAUGCAAAUCAUAGGGAUAAUUAUAAUUAGCAUGUAUUUGAAAAUCAAAAUCGGCUUAUAGGAUUUAUCAACAUAGACCGUAUUUCAGACCAUCCAUGACAAAGGACAAAAAAACAAAAAGUUGAGACUUAAAACAUGUUUAGUCAAGAACUCGACCCCUUUUUGUACAGUUUGAUUCUCCGACUUAUCUCUUUCUCUAACUCUUCAUCUCCUCCAACUUCUUCCAGUUCCUGCUUAUCACAAUUCCAAUGUCAAAUUAUUAAAAGCUACACAUAAAGAUGAUGACUAAAGAAUCUAAAGCAAAUCCAGAAACUUGCCUUUGGUCCAAGAAACAGCCCAUAUGGCACACCAUCGAAUUUGUCUGUGUGAUGCAGCUGAACACACAAUCACACAACGACACAAUUAAAAUCAAUUUUCUAAUUAGCAAUGAGAACAAAGCUACAUCAUAAGAAGCUACCAUUAUUUUAUAUUUUUAGCACCGACUAAAUCUAAACAAAAUCUAAAACAAAUAGAGACAUAAAUCAAUAGAAUAAGCUACUUACUAACUAGUACUAGUCAUUAAGAAAUGUAACAAAAUAUUAUUUCUAGUUUUAGUAAAUCACCGUUAUAACUAAUGUGGUUGACUGAUCAAGUCAAUGAGAUUAAUACCUGGUGAGCGGCAGCGACCUUUCGGAGAUAAGGAACGUCGGCGAUGGGACCCACAGGGAACCUCUUGUGCACCAAACCAUCGUGGACAAACAUGUAGGCGAUUCCAAACACUGUUAUUCCUAACCCCUGUUUACGAGGAGUGACAACAACAACAUGUGAGCGCCCAAACAAAAACAAAGGUAAAACACCACCAAUCCAUCUUAUGGUAUUAAUGAAGCCAACGAGUCAUUUGUCAUCGCAUGAACCGAAAAUCCAAACUUUCUCUAUUUAAAAAAUAAAUAGAGAGGGACGGAAGAUACUGGAAGAGAGAUACGUUUUGUUUUAAAAUACUGAGUACUAUGUCUGAAGUUAUUUAAUCUUAAAUAUUAAAAUAAUUAGUCUAACCAUAUACAGUCAAAGACGUUGUAAGUUGUAACCAUAAUUAAGACCAAUGACGUUCAAUCUUUUGCUACUUACUGCGCCAAAGCAGAGGCCAGGAACGAGUCCUUUAUUGAAGAAACCAUAAGAGAGGAGAGCAAUCGCAGGAACAGCGUUGACUAUGGCGAACACAUCGUUCAACUCAAACGGACCUUCUCUAGGUUUGUGAUGUGACUGCAAAUAGAGAGGAGAAUAAUCAAAUAACAGUAGAUUAACAAGCAGCUUGACUUUGAAUACUCAGAAUUAAGAAUUUUAUUGAAUUGUCAUCAGAAAUGAAAAGGUAGUAAACCUCAUGCAUGUUCCAUAAAGAAGCGUGCCAGAGAGCUUUAUGAGCCCAUCUUGCCCAAAACUCCAUACCAACCUGGUUUCAAAAUAUUCCAACACUCAGUGAGAUUCAGACAAGCUCGUCUUAAGAAAAUGAAAUAAAAAGACUUUGGACUUACAGCAGCACCAACAGAUAGAGCGAAUGUACCGAACAUCUCCGACAUUGGGAUCUCACCUCCCUGUUUGUUUUUAUUACAAUUCAAAACACUUACAUAAAACUGUCGGAACCAGAACGAAUUACAAAAAUAAAAUAAAAAAGAAUUUCAAAAAAUCAAAUUUACCUCCAUCUGCCAAGAGAAUCGGUAGUAAACGGCCAUAAUAGCCAUAGAAGUGAUACCGAAGCUCGACAUCACUGCGGCUAUCAGAUAAGUGAACCUCUCCGAUUUCUUCCUCUCCAGCUUCUCAGCCAGACGCAGCGCGAGGUACUCCGCGUCUAUGGCGUUCGUGUCCAGAGAGCUUGUUUUCUCUGGACUCUCAUCAUUGUUGAUUGGAGAACUCUGCCUCCGAUCCGAGACGACGUAGCAGACGGAUAAUCCUCUGAAGCGGAGGAGAGACGACGGCAAUCC